GAGGAGCCGAUCCGGCCGCCCCCGGACGAGGUACGCCGUACCCGGUCAGCGACAAGACGGCGUGGU
This 66-nucleotide non-coding RNA is filed under the name Streptomonospora alba. Lineage: Bacteria; Bacillati; Actinomycetota; Actinomycetes; Streptosporangiales; Nocardiopsidaceae. The record is from RNAcentral.